CCGACCUUAGCUCAGUUGGUAGAGCGGAGGACUGUAGUUGACGCAGAUUAUCCUUAAUUAGGUCACUGGUUCGAAUCCGGUAGGUCGGA
Arabidopsis thaliana x Arabidopsis arenosa is the source of this 89-nucleotide non-coding RNA. NCBI's taxonomy places the organism in Eukaryota, Viridiplantae, Streptophyta, Magnoliopsida, Brassicales, Brassicaceae. The record is from the annotation of a GenBank genome assembly.